AUUCUAGAGGAGGUCGAUUCCCCGGAAUCUAAAUAAACAGGAAAUAAUUUUUUAUACAAAUUAAACAUAAAUUAAUCAAUAACAAUUGUUAAGUGAGCUUUCUGUUAUGCACCAUAGCGAUCUCUUGACUUUACCUCAUUCAUUUCUAUUCCAGGUGGAACAAUGGCCCGCGGCCUAUCCCGCGUGUUAGGAUCCACAGUUUGUAAUACACCCUAGAUACACAAGACAUAUUUUUUUAUAAAAAUUAAACAUAAAUUAAUCAAUAAAUAUUGUUUAGUGAGCUUGUUGAUGCAUGUGGCUUAGUAUUAUGGGAGUUAGCAAGUAGAUGUACAGCUCAACUAGGAGCUGUACCAGAAUAUAGGUUACCAUUUGAAGAAGAAUUUGGACAACAUCCGUCAUAUGAGAAAAUAGUAGAAUGUGUUGUGAUUAAACGAUUGAGACCAGCUUUUAAAGAUAACUAGAAGAAAUCACACCCAGGCUUAAGGGAUUUAUGUCAAACAAUCCAAAAAUGUUGGGCACAUAAUGCCGAAAAAAGAAUAUCGGCCGGGUCUUUAUAUGAACAAUGUAAUCAGUUACAAGUUAGUCGAAAUGAAGCCAAAUAGAGUCGUUGGUCGCUCAAUGCACAAAUAGAAUCAGAUGAGGAGACCGAUUCCGUGCCCCGUGCCUCCGGUAGUCGCUAGUAAAUUAUUUAGUGUGGUGCAGUCUUCACUCUCAAGUCACUAAAUAUACGUCUUGUUUAUGGUGCGACUACUACUCGAUCCUGUAUUGUAUUAUUUAAUAUGUUAAUGUUAUUUUUAAUA
Acyrthosiphon pisum (pea aphid) is the source of this 800-nucleotide long non-coding RNA. RefSeq lists it as uncharacterized. NCBI's taxonomy places the organism in Eukaryota, Metazoa, Arthropoda, Insecta, Hemiptera, Aphididae. The record is from RefSeq and is a predicted model, not a curated record. The transcript is spliced from 3 exons.